RNAcentral lists this ribosomal RNA (346 nucleotides) under uncultured eukaryote. RNAcentral's name for it is "partial 18S ribosomal RNA". It matches the Rfam family "Eukaryotic small subunit ribosomal RNA", at positions 63 to 340 of the family's 1831-position model. The record is from RNAcentral.
GUAUAAGCUUGUUUAUACGGCGAGACUGUGGAUGGCUCAUUAAAUCAGUUAUAGUUUAUCUGAUGGUUUCUUUUGUCUUUUUUUUACCUACUUGGAUAACCGUGGUAAUUUUAGAGCUAAUACAUGCGCAAGGUCCCGAGCGCGGGGGGCGGGGCUUCACGGCCUCGUCCUCGCAUGCGCAGAGGGAUGUAUUUAUUAGGUUAAAAACCAGCAGCCGGCAACGGCUUCAACACCCCUGGUGAUUCAUAGUAACUCUUUCGGAUCGCAUUCAUGUCCUCCUCCUGGGGCCGGCGACGAUUCAUUCAAAAUUUCUUCCCUAUCAACUUUUCGGAUGGUAGGGAUAGGA